ACCGGAAGAUCAAGUGGUGGCCAUUUUUAUUGGGCCUAAAGCGUUCGUAGAAGGUUAGAUAAGUCUCUGGUGAAAUCCCGCAGCUUAACUCUGGGACUUGAUGGAGAUACUCUUAGACUUGAGGUCGGGAGAGGUUAGUGGUACUCCCAGUGUAGAGGUGAAAUCCUAGAAUCCUGGGAGGACCACCUGUGGCGAAGGCGCCUAACUGGAACGAACCUGACGGUGAGUAACGAAAGCCAGGGGCGCGAACCG
This 252-nucleotide ribosomal RNA is filed under the name uncultured prokaryote. Its description in RNAcentral is "partial 16S rRNA". It matches the Rfam family "Archaeal small subunit ribosomal RNA", at positions 475 to 726 of the family's 1478-position model. The record is from RNAcentral.